GGGUUGUGAGGUUAAGCGACCAAGCGUACACGGUGGAUGCCCUGGCAGUCAGAGGCGAUGAAGGACGUGCUAAUCUGCGAAAAGCGCCGGUAAGGUGAUAUGAACCGUUAUAACCGGCGAUGUCCGAAUGGGGAAACCCAGUGUGAUUCGUCACACUAUCAUUAACUGAAUCCAUAGGUUAAUGAGGCGAACCGGGGGAACUGAAACAUCUAAGUACCCCGAGGAAAAGAAAUCAACCGAGAUUCCCCCAGUAGCGGCGAGCGAACGGGGAGGAGCCCAGAGCCUGAAUCAGCAUGUGUGUUAGUGGAAGCGUCUGGAAAGGCGCGCGAUACAGGGUGACAGCCCCGUACACAAAAGCGCAUGUGCUGUGAGCUCGAUGAGUAGGGCGGGACACGUGGUAUCCUGUCUGAAUAUGGGGGGACCAUCCUCCAAGGCUAAAUACUCCUGACUGACCGAUAGUGAACCAGUACCGUGAGGGAAAGGCGAAAAGAACCCCGGCGAGGGGAGUGAAACAGAACCUGAAACCGUGUACGUACAAGCAGUGGGAGCCCCACCACUAAGCCAGUGGUGAACUCCACAUACGCAUCCUUUGCUGAGGAUGCGGUUAACGAAGCGAAAGCGACGUUCAACCGCAAAAGAAGCAGAGGGGGCUUAGUGGUGGGGUGACUGCGUACCUUUUGUAUAAUGGGUCAGCGACUUAUAUUCUGUAGCAAGGUUAACCGCAUAGGGGAGCCGGAGGGAAACCGAGUCUUAAUUGGGCGUUAAGUUGCAGGGUAUAGACCCGAAACCCGGUGAUCUAGCCAUGGGCAGGUUGAAGGUUGGGUAACACUAACUGGAGGACCGAACCGACUAAUGUUGAAAAAUUAGCGGAUGACCUGUGGCUGGGGGUGAAAGGCCAAUCAAACCGGGAGAUAGCUGGUUCUCCCCGAAAGCUAUUUAGGUAGCGCCUCGUGAAUUCAUCUCCGGGGGUAGAGCACUGUUUCGGCCAGGGGGCCAUCCCGGCUUACCAACCCGAUGCAAACUGCGAAUACCGGAGAAUGUUAUCACGGGAGACACACGGCGGGUGCUAACGUCCGUCGUGAAGAGGGAAACAACCCAGACCGCCAGCUAAGGUCCCAAAGUCAUGGUUAAGUGGGAAACGAUGUGGGAAGGCCCAGACAGCCAGGAUGUUGGCUUAGAAGCAGCCAUCAUUUAAAGAAAGCGUAAUAGCUCACUGGUCGAGUCGGCCUGCGCGGAAGAUGUAACGGGGCUAAACCAUGCACCGAAGCUGCGGCAGCGACGCUUAUGCGUUGUUGGGUAGGGGAGCGUUCUGUAAGCCUGCGAAGGUGGCCUGUGAGGGUUGCUGGAGGUAUCAGAAGUGCGAAUGCUGACAUAAGUAACGAUAAAGCGGGUGAAAAGCCCGCUCGCCGGAAGACCAAGGGUUCCUGUCCAACGUUAAUCGGGGCAGGGUGAGUCGACCCCUAAGGCGAGGCCGAAAGGCGUAGUCGAUGGGAAACGGGUUAAUAUUCCCGUACUUGGUGUUACUGCGAAGGGGGGACGGAGAAGGCUAUGUUGGCCGGGCGACGGUUGUCCCGGUUUAAGCGUGUAGGUGUGUGUUCCAGGUAAAUCCGGUUCACUUUAACACUGAGGCGUGAUGACGAGGCACUACGGUGCUGAAGCAACAAAUGCCCUGCUUCCAGGAAAAGCCUCUAAGCAUCAGGUAACAUCAAAUCGUACCCCAAACCGACACAGGUGGUCAGGUAGAGAAUACCAAGGCGCUUGAGAGAACUCGGGUGAAGGAACUAGGCAAAAUGGUGCCGUAACUUCGGGAGAAGGCACGCUGACACGUAGGUGAAGUGAUUUACUCAUGGAGCUGAAGUCAGUCGAAGAUACCAGCUGGCUGCAACUGUUUAUUAAAAACACAGCACUGUGCAAACACGAAAGUGGACGUAUACGGUGUGACGCCUGCCCGGUGCCGGAAGGUUAAUUGAUGGGGUCAGCGCAAGCGAAGCUCCUGAUCGAAGCCCCGGUAAACGGCGGCCGUAACUAUAACGGUCCUAAGGUAGCGAAAUUCCUUGUCGGGUAAGUUCCGACCUGCACGAAUGGCGUAAUGAUGGCCAGGCUGUCUCCACCCGGGACUCAGUGAAAUUGAACUCGCUGUGAAGAUGCAGUGUACCCGCGGCAAGACGGAAAGACCCCGUGAACCUUUACUAUAGCUUGACACUGAACAUUGAGCCUUGAUGUGUAGGAUAGGUGGGAGGCUUUGAAGUGUGGACGCCAGUCUGCAUGGAGCCGACCUUGAAAUACCACCCUUUAAUGUUUGAUGUUCUAACGUGGACCCGUUACCCGGGUUGCGGACAGUGUCUGGUGGGUAGUUUGACUGGGGCGGUCUCCUCCUAAAGAGUAACGGAGGAGCACGAAGGUUGGCUAAUCCUGGUCGGACAUCAGGAGGUUAGUGCAAUGGCAUAAGCCAGCUUGACUGCGAGCGUGACGGCGCGAGCAGGUGCGAAAGCAGGUCAUAGUGAUCCGGUGGUUCUGAAUGGAAGGGCCAUCGCUCAACGGAUAAAAGGUACUCCGGGGAUAACAGGCUGAUACCGCCCAAGAGUUCAUAUCGACGGCGGUGUUUGGCACCUCGAUGUCGGCUCAUCACAUCCUGGGGCUGAAGUAGGUCCCAAGGGUAUGGCUGUUCGCCAUUUAAAGUGGUACGCGAGCUGGGUUUAGAACGUCGUGAGACAGUUCGGUCCCUAUCUGCCGUGGGCGCUGGAGAACUGAGGGGGGCUGCUCCUAGUACGAGAGGACCGGAGUGGACGCAUCACUGGUGUUCGGGUUGUCAUGCCAAUGGCACUGCCCGGUAGCUAAAUGCGGAAGAGAUAAGUGCUGAAAGCAUCUAAGCACGAAACUUGCCCCGAGAUGAGUUCUCCCUGAGACUUUAGGUCUCCUGAAGGAACGUUGAAGACGACGACGUUGAUAGGCCGGGUGUGUAAGCGCAGCGAUGCGUUGAGCUAACCGGUACUAAUGAACCGUGAGGCUUAACCUUACAACGCCGAAG
Molecule: ribosomal RNA, 3028 nt
Filed under: Salmonella enterica
Lineage: Bacteria; Pseudomonadati; Pseudomonadota; Gammaproteobacteria; Enterobacterales; Enterobacteriaceae
Description: 23S ribosomal RNA
Rfam family: Bacterial large subunit ribosomal RNA
Source: RNAcentral